This 1676-nucleotide long non-coding RNA is filed under the name Mytilus galloprovincialis (Mediterranean mussel). Lineage: Eukaryota; Metazoa; Mollusca; Bivalvia; Mytilida; Mytilidae. The record is from RNAcentral.
UGAUACAGUCAUGGUCUUAUUGCUUAUAUUCUUUGAGAAAGGUUUCACGCAAAAUGAUCUUGCGUUUUAAAUUUGGUGUAUCAUGUUAAUUGCUAUAAUUGCAUUGCAGUAUUUCUAAUUAUGAUUAAUUUAUAUAAAAUUGCAUUUAUUUUUCUCAAAUUUACAGUAUACGUUAUCUCAAAUUUACAUAUAUAUAUUUUACGUGACAAUCAUACGGAUAGUAACAAAUUAUGGAGAUACUUGGUUGUGUAUAAUAAUGGUGUUACAUUAGUACCGAUCAUUUAAGUUAUGCAUAUAUACUCAGUUUUAUCCUAUCACAUAUUGGUGUGACCCUAAGAAUUGGCGAAAAUAUCAGACAGGUAACAGGUAUAUAUAUAGAAUACGAUCUGCUUACCCUUCGGACCAUAAAAACUCCCAAGGUUUUUAUUGGGUUCAUGUUGCCCAGUGUCUAGUUUUCUAUGUUAUGUGCUGAGUACUAUGUUUGUCUGUUGGUGUUUUUACUUCUUUAGCAAAGGCUUUUAUUUUUGAUUUAUACGUCUGUAAUCUACCUCAAAACUUAUUGAACAGAACAAGAUAUUAUACUACGUCAAGACGACAGAACUUGUUGUUUGACUACUUUUAUAAACAAAACAAACAUGUGGUAGGAGACAGCUCCACAAGUCUAAAUUUAUAAAAGUAGACCAUUAUGGGUCAAAGUACGGUCUUCAACACGGAGAAUAGAUUCACAUCGAACAGUAAUCUAUAAAGGACACCAAAAAGGACCAGUGAAAAACCAAUGAAACAUGAAAACUAAUGGUCUAAUCAGGAACAUAUAUAUUAACGUUAGAUAAACUGUUCCCAGGUCUAAUCUAUAUAAAACGAGGAACACUUAUGAACCACAUGAACAAACGACAACCACUGAACAUAAGAUUCCUCACUUAUGGCAGGUGUAAACAAAUGCAGUGGAUUUUAAAGUUUUAAUUGGUACCAACUUCAUCCUUACCUGAAACAAUAGUAACAUCACAACAUAGAAAGACACACUAUAAAAUAUCAAUUGAAAUGGCUUAACUAAAUCAAAAGACAUAGUAACAAGUAAACAAGUAAACAAGUGAACACACACUAAACGAAUUACACAAUGUAAACACAAAAUUGAUAAAAUAUGGGUCAAGAUAUUAAGCAAUAUCAGAAAGACAUCCAUAACCUUGGACAAAAUGUCGCAUAAUAAAAUAACGUACGUUAUAACAAAGUUUUAGUGGUCAUUAUGACCAUACAUUCUUAUUUAUAGAUUCACCCUAACAGCAAAUUUAAUUAUUGUAUAUAGAUAACGGUAUCAAGAUCUAUUCGGAAUAUAAAAGAUGGAGUCAGUCAAGCGUUAAAUAUAGGUAAAAAUUAUCUUCUCUUCACAUGGCAGAAGAGAUAUCUAUAAUCUAGAUGACUUGUGAUGGUGGUUUUUUUUUUAUAUUUAUUAAACAAACAUAAUUGUUCUUUGAUAGUUUGUCUUGGAUUGAACAUAGAAGUAUAGAAGCAACUAUAAGACACAAACCAAAUUACGUAUAUACGUGACAUUUUACGACACUUCUUGUUUUACGAAUAUCCUGUUUUAAAUUUUGUAUGAAUACCUUGAAUGACCUUGAACAUGGACAUAUUUUAAUCCAUGCUCAUAUGUGGUAUUUGUAUUGAAAUUCAUUGAGAUAACA